AUGGCGUCUUCCGUGGGCAACGUGGCCGACAGCACAGAACCAACGAAACGUAUGCUUUCCUUCCAAGGGUUAGCUGAGUUGGCACAUCGAGAAUAUCAGGCAGGAGAUUUUGAGGCAGCUGAGAGACACUGCAUGCAGCUCUGGAGACAAGAGCCAGACAAUACUGGUGUGCUUUUAUUACUUUCAUCUAUACACUUCCAGUGUCGAAGGCUGGACAGAUCUGCUCACUUUAGCACUCUGGCAAUUAAACAGAACCCCCUUCUGGCAGAAGCUUAUUCGAAUUUGGGGAAUGUAUACAAGGAAAGAGGGCAGUUGCAGGAGGCAAUUGAGCAUUAUCGACAUGCAUUGCGUCUCAAACCUGAUUUCAUCGAUGGUUAUAUUAACCUGGCAGCCGCCUUGGUAGCAGCGGGUGACAUGGAAGGGGCAGUACAAGCUUACGUCUCUGCUCUUCAGUACAAUCCUGAUUUGUACUGUGUUCGCAGUGACCUGGGGAACCUGCUCAAAGCCCUGGGUCGCUUGGAAGAAGCCAAGACUUGAGACUGUCCUCAUUCCCAUAUGUAAUAGACAUCCAAAGAAUUUCAAUUGCUUUGUUGAACUUUUA
This 601-nucleotide small RNA is filed under the name Pongo abelii (Sumatran orangutan). Its description in RNAcentral is "processed transcript". Lineage: Eukaryota; Metazoa; Chordata; Mammalia; Primates; Hominidae. The record is from RNAcentral.